GAUGAAGAACGCAGCGAACUGCGAUAAGUAAUGUGAAUUGCAGAAUUCAGUGAAUCAUCGAGUCUUUGAACGCACAUUGCGCCCCCUGGCAUUCCGGGGGGCAUGCCUGUCCGAGCGUCAUCGCUGCCCUUCAAGCCCGGCUUGUGUGUUGGGUCGUCGUCCCCCCCGGGGGACGGGCCCGAAAGGCAGCGGCGGCACCGCGUCCGGUCCUCGAGCGUAUGGGGCUUUGUCACCCGCUCGAUUAGGGCCGGCCGGGCGCCAGCCGGCGUCUCCAACCUUCUAUUUUACCAGGUUGACCUCGGAUCAGGUAGGGAUACCCGCUGAACUUAAGCAUAUCAAUAAGCGGAGGA
This 350-nucleotide unclassified non-coding RNA is filed under the name soil metagenome. RNAcentral's name for it is "partial contains 5.8S ribosomal RNA, internal transcribed spacer 2, and large subunit ribosomal RNA". The stretch from base 1 to 120 matches the Rfam family "5.8S ribosomal RNA", at positions 35 to 154 of the family's 154-position model. The record is from RNAcentral.